GUCUGUGAUAGAGAAGCAAAUGCCUCAUGAAUAGGCUUCUGGUUGGUUUAGCUGGUAUGUCACGUUAAGACAGUUUGAAGUUGCAUUUCAGACAUUUCAAAACAAAUUCAAAUUUACUAAGGGCCUUUACUGAGAGUGGAAGAAAUUCUGGACUCAUCUGUGUGCAAGUUAUAUUUAUGUUGUUCAAAUUGAUUCAGAUAUUGUGUCCUUGUGGUGUGACGAUCGAGUGAAGUCAUCAGUCCUGGUGCUGCUCUUUCCUUUUUUACUUAGGCCGGUUCCUGGGACUUCUUAGGACAAAUGUCUCAUCCCAGCCAAAGAUGUCAUUUCUUCCCUUGAAAGCAUGUUCCCACAGCCCAGCCAUUCCUCUAAACCUCAGAUAGAAAGACUGAGCUUUUACUGUUUCUUUUUCUGUCCUGUUUAGACGUCCAUCCUAAGGCCCCGU
RNAcentral lists this long non-coding RNA (442 nucleotides) under Bos taurus (domestic cattle). RNAcentral's name for it is "long non-coding RNA NONBTAT012162". Lineage: Eukaryota; Metazoa; Chordata; Mammalia; Artiodactyla; Bovidae. The record is from RNAcentral.